UAGGGAAUAUUGGACAAUGGGUGAGAGCCUGAUCCAGCCAUGCCGCGUGCAGGAAGAAGGCGUUAUGCGUUGUAAACUGCUUUUUGCCAGGGGAUAAAAUGAGCGUGCGCGCUUAAUUGAAGGUACCUGGUGAAUAAGCCACGGCUAACUACGUGCCAGCAGCCGCGGUAAUACGUAGGUGGCAAGCGUUGUCCGGAUUUAUUGGGUUUAAAGGGUGCGUAGGUGGCCCUGUAAGUCAGGCGUGAAAUCCCCGGGCUUAACCUGGGAAUGGCGCUUGAAACUACGUGACUGGAGUAUGGCAGAGGGAGGUGGAAUUCCACGUGUAGCGGUGAAAUGCGUAGAGAUGUGGAGGAACACCGAUGGCGAAGGCAGCCUCCUGGGCCAAUACUGACGCUCAUGCACGAAAGCGUGGGGAGCAAACAGGAUUAGAUACCCAAGUAGUCCCUGAGCGGGC
This 454-nucleotide ribosomal RNA is filed under the name uncultured bacterium. RNAcentral's name for it is "bacterial SSU rRNA". It matches the Rfam family "Bacterial small subunit ribosomal RNA", at positions 355 to 804 of the family's 1533-position model. The record is from RNAcentral.